This 307-nucleotide unclassified non-coding RNA is filed under the name Ixodes scapularis (black-legged tick). Its description in RNAcentral is "glycine-rich protein 23-like, transcript variant X1". Lineage: Eukaryota; Metazoa; Arthropoda; Arachnida; Ixodida; Ixodidae. The record is from RNAcentral.
GCUCUGUCGAGAAUUCGAACAAAAUGAGGGCAUCUCAACAGGAAAGGAGGAGCGAAUUUCACGAGCCGUGCGGACGGACUCGUUCGGAUAUAAAAGCAGCGCGGGACACGGCUGCAACCACGCAUUCGCUCUUCCAGCUGCCAACUGCACUACACUGGAAACAUGAGGACUCUGGAGCUUGGAUCAUGAUGUGCUUCCCAUCGACAGCACCAAGGCAAUUCGGAAACUGCCAGCUCCUGCUGAAGCCCUCGGCAACCUGAAGCCACGCAUUUGUAUCUGGUUUCUGGAAAGAGACAGGAUACAAGAA